Molecule: ribosomal RNA, 531 nt
Filed under: uncultured Janthinobacterium sp.
Lineage: Bacteria; Pseudomonadati; Pseudomonadota; Betaproteobacteria; Burkholderiales; Oxalobacteraceae
Description: bacterial SSU rRNA
Rfam family: Bacterial small subunit ribosomal RNA
Source: RNAcentral
UCUACGUAGCAGAGUUUGAUCAUGGCUCAGAUUGAACGCUGGCGGCAUGCCUUACACAUGCAAGUCGAACGGCAGCGCGGGGCAACCUGGCGGCGAGUGGCGAACGGGUGAGUAAUAUAUCGGAACGUACUCUGGAGUGGGGGAUAACGUAGCGAAAGUUACGCUAAUACCGCAUACGAUCUAAGGAUGAAAGUGGGGGAUUCGCAAGAACCUCAUGCUCCUGGAGCGGCCGAUAUCUGAUUAGCUAGUUGGUGGGGUAAAGGUCCACCAAGGCAUCGAUCAGUAGCUGGUCUGAGAGGACGACCAGCCACACUGGAAUUGAGACACGGUCCAGACUCCUACGGGAGGCAGCAGUGGGGAAUUUUGGACAAUGGGCGCAAGCCUGAUCCAGCAAUGCCGCGUGAGUGAAGAAGGCCUUCGGGUUGUAAAGCUCUUUUGUCAGGGAAGAAACGAUGUCCUCUAAUACAGGGUGUUAAUGACGGUACCUGAAGAAUAAGCACCGGCUAACUACGUGCCAGCAGCCGCGGUAAU